RNAcentral lists this ribosomal RNA (468 nucleotides) under uncultured bacterium. Its description in RNAcentral is "partial 16S ribosomal RNA". It matches the Rfam family "Bacterial small subunit ribosomal RNA", at positions 28 to 507 of the family's 1533-position model. The record is from RNAcentral.
GACGAACGCUGGCGGCGUGCUUAACACAUGCAAGUCGAACGGAAAGGCCCUGCUUUUGUGGGGUGCUCGAGUGGCGAACGGGUGAGUAACACGUGAGUAACCUGCCCUUGACUUUGGGAUAACUUCAGGAAACUGGGGCUAAUACCGGAUAGGAGCUCCUGUUGCAUGGUGGGGGUUGGAAAGUUUCGGCGGUUGGGGAUGGACUCGCGGCUUAUCAGCUUGUUGGUGGGGUAGUGGCUUACCAAGGCUUUGACGGGUAGCCGGCCUGGGAGGGUGACCGGCCACAUUGGGACUGAGAUACGGCCCAGACUCCUACGGGAGGCAGCAGUGGGGAAUAUUGCACAAUGGGCGGAAGCCUGAUGCAGCAACGCCGCGUGCGGGAUGACGGCCUUCGGGUUGUAAACCGCUUUCGCCUGUGACGAAGCGUGAGUGACGGUAAUGGGUAAAGAAGCACCGGCUAACUACGUG